ACUCCCACCUGGCAGGGGAGAUACCAUGAUCACGAAGGUGGUUUUCCCAGGGUGAGGCUCCUCCAUUGCCCUCCUGCUUUUUCAUUGACUCUGAUCAAUCUUGUGUUAUUCUUUUUUGCAUCAUCUAGUAGCUGUUGGAUUGAUUUUUUUCAUGUUCCCU
Molecule: small nuclear RNA, 160 nt
Organism: Heterocephalus glaber (naked mole-rat)
Lineage: Eukaryota; Metazoa; Chordata; Mammalia; Rodentia; Bathyergidae
Gene: U1
Rfam family: U1 spliceosomal RNA
About the family: U1 is a small nuclear RNA (snRNA) component of the spliceosome (involved in pre-mRNA splicing). Its 5' end forms complementary base pairs with the 5' splice junction, thus defining the 5' donor site of an intron.
Source: Ensembl